AUUUUAUUGUGAAAUAAUAGUUAAAUGCUGUGAAAUCCAAGGAUACAGUCCUUUUUACAUGUAUUUGUUGGGAUAUUACAGGGGGCCUUGAUUACAAUAUGUCACUGUAAAAUGAUACUGUUAAAUGUAGUGAAAUGCUGGUACAUUUUUACAGUGUACACGGGAGCAAAC
Molecule: long non-coding RNA, 171 nt
Organism: Trematomus bernacchii (emerald rockcod)
Lineage: Eukaryota; Metazoa; Chordata; Actinopteri; Perciformes; Nototheniidae
Exons: 3
Source: RefSeq, a predicted model, not a curated record